This 534-nucleotide ribosomal RNA is filed under the name Hepatozoon sp. KS-2015. RNAcentral's name for it is "bacterial SSU rRNA". It matches the Rfam family "Eukaryotic small subunit ribosomal RNA", at positions 349 to 876 of the family's 1831-position model. Lineage: Eukaryota; Apicomplexa; Hepatozoidae. The record is from RNAcentral.
GCAGUGACGGUUAACGGGGGAUUAGGGUUCGAUUCCGGAGAGGGAGCCUGAGAAACGGCUACCACAUCUAAGGAAGGCAGCAGGCGCGCAAAUUACCCAAUUCUAACAGCAUGAGAGAGGUAGUGACAAGAAAUAACAAUACAAGGCAGUUAAAAUGCUUUGUAAUUGGAAUGAUAGAAAUUUAAACACUUUUUAAAGUAUCAAUUGGAGGGCAAGUCUGGUGCCAGCAGCCGCGGUAAUUCCAGCUCCAAUAGCGUAUAUUAAAAUUGUUGCAGUUAAAAAGCUCGUAGUUGAAUUUCUGUUAAAAAUAACCGGUCUGCUUUUAAUAAAAGUGGUAUCUUGGUGUGUUUUUAGCAAUAAUGUCCUUUGAAAUGUUUUUUACUUUAUUGUAAUAGAUUAUAUUCAGGAUUUUUACUUUGAGAAAAUUAGAGUGUUUCUAGCAGGCUAACGCUUUGAAUACUGCAGCAUGGAAUAAUAAAAUAGGAUUUUGGUUCUACAUUAUUGGUUUUAAGAACUAAAUUAAUGAUUGAUAGG